AAGGGACUCACAUGCACUAACAUGCACCCCUGCAUGCCUUAACAUGCACGCGCUGCCAGACCUGCAAACAAAACAAAACCAGAGAGGCUACAACAAACACAGCAGGGGUGUAUCUCUGACUCUGGAGCUGCAGGAUCUGCCACUACUACUCAUCAUCAUCACUUUCAUCCUCAUCAUCAUCAUCAUCAUCAUCAUCAUAGAAACACUAUCAGUGGCUGAGACUUCUCUUCAGUUGUGUGUGUGCUCGAAGACAGAGUUUAUGGGUGAAGGAACUGAACUGAAUCACUCCCUGAAACGAUCCAUUUUCAGUCAGUUCAGUCUCACAACUCGCAGGGAUUCACUCUCUGACUGAGUGAUUUGCUGGGGGAAUGGGGUGUGUUCAAUACAGCAAGCACAGCUGAUUGUGAUUGCAAACAUUUAGCAUUUUGGUCUUGGACUGUAAUCCAUCUCCCUCCCUCUCUAAUGUUGAAGGAAGUAGUACCAAAUAUUUCACUUAAUGAUUAGGUGCGUGCUGUACAUAAUAGAGCAGCUCUGCCCAUCACAGCUCAGUAUCCUCUCAUGUCCAGCAGGUGGAAGAAAAGAGUUGUUUUCAUUCAUGGUAUAAGUGGAAAGAAAAUGUCAGAUACUUACUCCUACAGUGUCACUCUUCAUUAGUAUUAGACAGACAAUAUGAACCUCAUGGUGGAACUGCUAAUUAUUCUUUCCACAGUGAAUCUCACUGGAAACUUUAUAACACUGGAAUAAUGUUUGUUUUUCAUUAAUAAAGUGAAC
This is a long non-coding RNA of Seriola aureovittata, 771 nucleotides long. RefSeq lists it as uncharacterized. Lineage: Eukaryota; Metazoa; Chordata; Actinopteri; Carangiformes; Carangidae. The record is from RefSeq and is a predicted model, not a curated record. The transcript has 3 exons.